This is a long non-coding RNA of Acanthopagrus latus (yellowfin seabream), 2544 nucleotides long. RefSeq lists it as uncharacterized. The record is from RefSeq and is a predicted model, not a curated record. NCBI's taxonomy places the organism in Eukaryota, Metazoa, Chordata, Actinopteri, Spariformes, Sparidae. The transcript is spliced from 3 exons.
UGACAGGAGAAUGUCACUUGCGUAUGAAUCAAUAAACAGCGCAAACAAAUAAGCAAAAAAUAAAAUGAGAGGGAGAAAAAGGUUUAACCAGUAACACAGAGUUAAAUCUCACAUGAUGCAUCCCUAAAAUUUUGUAAAAGGAGACAGGGUGGGAACUUUUUUAGAAGUUGUAGAUCUGAGAAAGUCCCCCCCCCCCAAUUCGAUUGCCUUAUUGAACCAGCAGCAUGUUUCACACUAAAUGGCUGUGAAGUCUCCAGCUUGAUCAGACUGAUCAAGAGCAUAUGACAUACAUAUAAAUCAAUAAACAACACAAACAAUCAAGUAAGAAUACCAUCAAAUAAACAGAAGGGACAAAAAGUUUAACCAAAAAUUACUAAACAAACCAUUUUUUUAAAUGCACAGUCUUGUGCAGGUAGUCAGCCGCCUCACUUGGACACUUAUAUCGCGCCCUUUAACUUCUUCCCGACCCAAAAAAUUGCAGCUUUAAAGCAACUUUAACACGGCUUUCAGAAAUCAGCACACCUGGCAUAAAGUUCAGCUUUGUCUUGGCUGAGAAGAACAAUACUCCUUCACCAUCCUCCAUUAACAAGGCUGGUUCUUUCUCCUGUCACACCUGUUGGCGCAGCUCUUUCCAGAGGAUCAAUCAUCCGAAGGUGUCUUGACCACCGCCUCCUCAUCUCCCCAGUCAAAGGCAACCAAUCUUAUAGCAGAUCAGAAUCGUCACCUGUCACCCAGGUAAUCCAGAAAACAGAGGAGAAAGCUUCUGGCUGUGUCUGUCUAUCCUGAGCUUUAGUAGAAGGAAACCCUUCAUAACAGAAGAGACUGUUCGCUGGCUGAUGAUGGUGCUGACUUAUUGUUCAGGAAGACAGUUUUCUCCUGGGAGGGAGGGGGGCGGGGACCGGGUCAGCCGCUGUGCCAAGCCUGAGAGUAUGAAAAUGGAGGUGACAGGAUGUUGAUGAGGAGGCCCGAAGCGUUACCUCGAACCGCCAUGCCCUGGAGUGCUCCACUCUGCCAGCCGGUAAUGAACCUGUGAAGCGCCUCUCAGCUCACCUGUCACCCAGUCACCGAGUCAUUCUUUACCAGCCGCAUUUUCACCCCAGAGACACACAGAAGCACGCAACCCCAUCCGGAGUGUUCAGCAUUCACUAUUAACCAUCUGAUGUUUGUUUGCAGACAAACAACGGCACUUUUUUUUUUUUUUUUUACGCUACCCGAGUCAGCCGGAGUGUUUCAAUCACAUUAAUCUCAAAAAAAAAAAAAAAAACAGUAGGGAAAUAUGGAGUUGUUAAAGGGUACAACACAGCUGAGCGAGUGACAGCUGAAGCGUAGAAGCGAGAGAGCGACGGAGGGAUACAGCGGAAAAAUAAGUACAGGUACAGGUGCGAGUUGAUGGAGGUAGAUGAGGUGUGUGCGCGCGCAUGUGUGCGUGCUCUUUCGUCUCACCUGCGCGACUUCCUGCGCCCAGCAGACUGGAUCGCUCUCUCGCUCAAUCCCUCAGACCCACUGAUGGAGAACAUAGCCUCGAUAUGUAAGCUGACAGAGGAUUUUCGCUCUCCCCGUCAUCCUCCCUCCAGAAUAUUUCUCUCCCUUUUUCUCAUUCCAGUAUUUGGCGAGCCAUAAAACUUUUUAAAUAAUUCCUGUGAAGUGGUAAAGAAGGAGGAGUUAUUUUGGGUUCUGGAAGUGGAGGUCGGGUUCAUUUGCCUCGCACAGAUCACUGGUGGAAACACCCCCUGGCUGAAUUAGCAGGAAAGAAGACGAGCAAAUGGUUUUUUAGAAAGCAUCUUUCUAUCCCUCUUUCAUAAACAGUCAAACCGAUUGAUGGGUUUCAAGAUUCUCUGAUUGCAGAUUCUUAAAUGUGAAUUUUUUUUUUCUCUGGUUGCUUUACCCCACUAGGCCAGUUUCACUGAUUUUUCCCCAUUGUGUGACAUUUUAAAGACAUAACUACUAAACAAAUGACCAAGAAAAUAGACAACAAACACAACAAGAGAGAUUGAGUAUGACUCCUCCAACCUUAACGAACUAACAUUGUCACUGACAUCCAAAACAACCCUUUACCCAACAGAACAUGUUCACGAGGCUCAUAGCUUUGGAAUUUAAAAGCACAGGGAUAUAAAUACAUUACCAAUACAUUCUUAUCCCGACUCCCUGUGAUAAUUGUUUAGUUACCUUUUGUUUGUUAUCUCACUUCCUGUUUUAUUUUGUACCUUCAUCCACAUUUGUUUGCUUGACUUCCUGCCUUUGUUUAGUUUGCCACUACUUUCAUUCACCAGCUGUUGUCAGUUAUCCAAUUAGCCAUUUCAGUAUUGAUUCCCCCGCUUGUUCACUACCCAUUCAUCAGAUUGUUACAUUUACAUUUACAUUGUCUUAGCUUUCUUCACAUACAAGCUUUCCAGCCAUCAUUGUUCCUGCUUUUCCUCCAGUGUAUCAACACAGUCUGUUUGGACUUUUGGAUUUUCGCCUGACCCCGUGUAAGUUUGUUGCUUCUGACUGUUUUGGGGGGUUUUUUUGUUUGUUUUUUUCCUGCAUGCGCCUGCUCUUUGUGCC